RNAcentral lists this ribosomal RNA (253 nucleotides) under uncultured bacterium. Its description in RNAcentral is "partial 16S ribosomal RNA". It matches the Rfam family "Bacterial small subunit ribosomal RNA", at positions 524 to 776 of the family's 1533-position model. The record is from RNAcentral.
UACGAAGGGUGCAAACGUUGCUCGGAAUUAUUGGGCGUAAAGAGCUCGUAGGCGGCUUGUCGCGUCGACUGUGAAAACCCACGGCUUAACUGUGGGCUUGCAGUCGAUACGGGCAGGCUAGAGUUCGGUAGGGGAGACUGGAAUUCCUGGUGUAGCGGUGAAAUGCGCAGAUAUCAGGAGGAACACCGGUGGCGAAGGCGGGUCUCUGGGCCGCUCCUGACGCUGAUACGCGAAGGCCAGGGUAGCGAACGGG